CCUACGGGUGACAGCAGUAGGGAAUAUUGCUCAAUGGGGGAAACCCUGAAGCAGCAACGCCGCGUGGGGGAUGAAGGUUUUCGGUUUGUAAACCCCUUUUGUUAGAGAAGAAAAUGACGGUAUCUAACGAAUAAUCACCGGCUAACUCCGUGCCAGCAGCCGCGGUAAUACGGAGGGUGCAAGCGUUACUCGGAGUCACUGGGCGUAAAGAGCGCGUAGGCGGGAUAGCAAGUCAGAUGUGAAAUACUAUGGCUUAACCAUAGAACUGCAUUUGAAACUGUUAGUCUAGAGUAGGGGAGAGGUAGGUGGAAUUCUUGGUGUAGGGGUAAAAUCCGUAGAGAUCAAGAGGAAUACUCAUUGCGAAGGCGACAUGCUAGAACAUAACUGACGCUGAGGCGCGAAAGCGUGGGGAGCAAACAGGAUUAGAUACCCGAGUAGUC
RNAcentral lists this ribosomal RNA (440 nucleotides) under uncultured bacterium. RNAcentral's name for it is "partial 16S ribosomal RNA". It matches the Rfam family "Bacterial small subunit ribosomal RNA", at positions 338 to 795 of the family's 1533-position model. The record is from RNAcentral.